RNAcentral lists this long non-coding RNA (687 nucleotides) under Salmo salar (Atlantic salmon). Its description in RNAcentral is "lncRNA (ENSSSAG00000097895.1)". Lineage: Eukaryota; Metazoa; Chordata; Actinopteri; Salmoniformes; Salmonidae. The record is from RNAcentral.
AGUUACUGGGCAGGAGUAGUAACCAGACUAAAUCGGGUACGUUUUUUAUCCGGCCGUGUCAAUACUGCCCCCUAGCCCUAACAGGUUAAAAUGUGUUUUUAUAUGACAGAAUGUUAAAACUAGAUGAAGUUAUAGUUAUGAAUAUAAACUGGUAAUGAGGUGUAGUUUUAGUUAUGAAUAUUACCUGGUAAUGAGGUGUGGUUUUAGUUAUGAAUAUAAACUGGUAAUGAGGUGUAGUUUUAGUUAUGAAUAUUAGCUGGUAAUGAGGUGUAGUUUUAGUUAUGAAUAUUAGCUGGUAAUGAGGUGUAGUUUUAGUUAUGAAUAUUAACUGGUAAUGAGGUGUAGUUUUAGUUAUGAAUAUUAACUGGUAGUGAGGUGUAGUUUUAGUUAUGAAUAUUAGCUGGUAAUGAGGUGUAGUUUUAGUUAUGAAUAUUAACUGGUAAUGAGGUUAUACACUGAGUGGACUAGAUAUUACUCUAACUGAGCAGUGUAGCCUAUAGGUUAUACACUGAGUGGACUAAAUAUUACUCUAACUGAGCAGUGUAGUCUAUAGGUUAUACACUGAGUGGACUAAAUAUUACUCUAACUGAGCAGUGUAGCCUAUAGGUUAUACACUGAGUGGACUAGAUAUUACUCUAACUGAGCAGUGUAGCCUAUAGGUUAUACACUGAGUGGACUAAAUAUUAC